RNAcentral lists this long non-coding RNA (263 nucleotides) under Phoenix dactylifera (date palm). Its description in RNAcentral is "long non-coding RNA (PDAC_LNC016626)". Lineage: Eukaryota; Viridiplantae; Streptophyta; Magnoliopsida; Arecales; Arecaceae. The record is from RNAcentral.
UCUGACACUUAACGAAAUUUUGAUUUCAGAUAUUCUCCGCCUGCCGACCAGCAACACAUCACUUUUCUCUCGCCUGAGGAGGCGAGAGGCCGAGGCCGGGGGAGCUAGGCCCCAGCCCCGGAAGAGGGCGAGGUCGGACGGCGCCUCCAGUUCAGCCGGCACGAGUGGCCCCGAGGCGGGGGCCCCUGCAGCCGACCCGAGGCGGGAGCGGGUCGUUAGUGAUGCGGGCCCGUCGGCCCCUCCUUGCCCUGCCCCCCUUGCCC